Molecule: non-coding RNA, 531 nt
Organism: Megalobrama amblycephala (Wuchang bream)
Lineage: Eukaryota; Metazoa; Chordata; Actinopteri; Cypriniformes; Xenocyprididae
Source: the annotation of a RefSeq genome assembly
UAGUUUGUCUGUUGUAAAUCCUGCCCACUUGUUUGCAUUGUGACACAUGCUUCAGUGCUCUGAGAGUGUUUAUAGUGCUGUGAGUUUAACACUUCAUGACUGAGAGCAGAACAGAACACAAUCUUCAUCAUCACACAAGACAAAAGAACAACAAUGAACACAAUCACCUUCUUCAUCUGGACUCUCACACUGUUUAUUCAAGAGUGUAGAGGACAGAUCACUGUAACUCAGAGUCCAUCAAUAACAGCUCAACCAGGACAAGAAGUCAGAAUAAACUGUAAAACCAGCAGUGCAGUGUAUGGUGGUAAUCGUUUAGCCUGGUACUUACAGAAACCUGGAGAAGCUCCUAAACUCCUCAUAUAUUAUGCAACAACCCGUAAUACUGGAACUCCAUCUAGAUUCAGUGGCAGUGGAUCUAACACUGAUUUCACUCUGACCAUCAGUGGAGUCCAGACUGAAGAUACAGGAGAUUAUUACUGUCAGAGUUGGCACAGUGGUCCAGUGAUCACACAGUGAUAAAGAGUGGUACAA